GAGGGUGAUGCCUGCCCAAUGGUUGUAUCUAAAAGCGGUUGAUAAAAGUCGACCUUGUAAGGACAAUUGAAUGGCCGCGGUAACACUGACCGUGAUAAUGUAGCGUAAUCAAUAGCCAAUUAAUUGUUGGCCAGUAUGAAUGGCGCCACGAAGGCCCCACUGUCUUAAGGAAAUUCCCAGUGAAAUUGAAUUCGUAGUGAAGAUGCUACGUCCAAUUUGUUAGACGAAAAGACCCCGUUGAGCUUUACUGGAGCACUUAUAUGGCCCCGGCCUUCCCAUGCCUGGGAACCGGCCGAAUUUAAAUGGGCGGCUUAGAUUAUGUGGCAGCCCCCCGCUGGGGCAAAUGAAACACCACUCCCCCAUGUCAAAGGGGCUAACCCCCCCCUUGGGGGGGACAGUGUAAGUAGGACAGUUUGGUUGGGGCGACCGCCUUUUAAAAAGUAACGAAGGUGCGCUUAAGGUGUGCAAUUAAUGACUGAAGCCUGACUGCGAGGGGGGUACCCCGAGCAGACACCCCUAAGCCCGCCCG
This 529-nucleotide ribosomal RNA is filed under the name Zoanthus aff. pulchellus MEAS-2015. Its description in RNAcentral is "partial 16S ribosomal RNA". It matches the Rfam family "Bacterial large subunit ribosomal RNA", at positions 1848 to 2413 of the family's 2925-position model. The record is from RNAcentral. Lineage: Eukaryota; Metazoa; Cnidaria; Anthozoa; Zoantharia; Zoanthidae.